AUGGAAGAAGAAAUCGCUGCACUCAUCAUUGACAAUGGCUCAGGCAUGUGCAAAGCCCGCUUUGCUGGUGAGGACGCCCCCAGGGCCGUGUUCCUUUCCAUUGUAGGGCGCCCGCGACACCAGGGUGUCAUGGUGGGCAUGGGCCAGAAAGACUCGUAUGUAGGUGACGAGGCCUAGAGCAAGAGGGGUAACCUGACCCUGAAGUACCCUAUCGAGCAAGGCAUUGUCACCAACUGGGACGACAUGGAGAAGAUCUGGCACCAUACCUUCUACAAUGAGCUGCGUGUGGCCCCUGAGGAGCACCCGGUGCUUCUGACUGAGGCCGCCCUGAACCCCAAAGCUAACAGAGAGAAGAUGACGCAGAUAAUGUUUGAAACCUUCAAUACCCCGGCCAUGUAUGUGGCCAUUCAGGCGGUGCUGUCCUUGUAUGCAUCUGGGCACACCACUGGCAUUGUCAUGGACUCUGGUGACGGGGUCACACACACACACAGUGCCCAUCUAUGAGGGCUAUGCCCUUCCCCACACCAUCUUGCGUCUGGACCUGGCUGGCUGGGACCUGACAGACUACCUCAUGAAGAUCCUGACUGAAAGGGGCUACAGCUUUACCACCACUGCUGAGAGGGAAAUUGUUCCUGACAUAAAGGAGAAGCUGUGCUAUUUUGCCCUGUAUUUUGAGCAAGAAAUGGCUACUGCUGCAUCAUCUUCCUCCUUGGAGAAGAGUUAUGAGCUGCCCAAUGGGCAGGUGAUCACCAUCGGCAAUGAGCGGUUCCGGUGUCCUGAGGCACUCUUCCAGCCUUCCUUCCUGGGCAUGGAGUCCUGUGGUAUCCACGAGACCACCUUCAACUCCAUCAUGACUUGUGAUGUGGAUAUCCGCAAAGACCUGUAUGCCAAUACAGUGCUGUCUGGUGGUACCACCAUAUACCCAGGCAUUGCUGACAGGAUGCAGAAGGAGAUCACAGCCCUAGCACCCAGCACAAUGAAGAUUAAGAUCAUUGCUCCCCCUGAGCGCAAGUACUCAGUCUGGAUCGGUGGCUCCAUUCUGGCCUCACUGUCCACCUUCCAGCAGAUGUGGAUCAGCAAGCAGGAGUAUGAUGAGUCGGGCCCCUCCAUCGUCCACCACAAAUGCUUCUAGAUGGACUGAGCA
This is a non-coding RNA of Mus caroli (Ryukyu mouse), 1144 nucleotides long. The record is from RefSeq and is a predicted model, not a curated record. Lineage: Eukaryota; Metazoa; Chordata; Mammalia; Rodentia; Muridae.